CGGUUGAUCCUGCCGGACCCCACUGCUAUCGGGGUGGGACUAAAACAUGCGAGUCGAGCGCCUCCAGGCCAUGGUGGAGGCGCGGCGCACGGCUCAGUAACACGUGGCUAACCUACCCUUAGGACGGGGAUAACCCCGGGAAACUGGGGCUAAUACCCGAUAGGUGAGGAGGUCUGGAAUGACUCCUCACCGAAAGGGUGUAGGGACCAUGCCUCCCUACACCGCCUAAGGAUGGGGCCGCGGCCGAUCAGGUAGUUGGUGAGGUAACGGCUCACCAAGCCUAUAACCGGUACGGGCCGUGAGAGCGGGAGCCCGGAGAUGGGCACUGAGACAAGGGCCCAGGCCCUACGGGGCGCAGCAGUUGCGAAACCUCCGCAAUGCGCGAAAGCGCGACGGGGCUACCCCGAGUGCCGCCCGCUGAGGGUGGCUUUUCUCCGGUGUAACGAGCCGGAGGAAUAAGGAGAGGGCAAGCCUGGUGUCAGCCGCCGCGGUAAUACCAGCUCUCCGAGUGGUGGGGACGAUUAUUGGGCCUAAAGCGUCCGUAGCCGGUCUGGUAAGUAUCCCGUUAAAUCCAACGACCUAAUCGUUGGACUGCGGGAUAUACUGCCAGACUAGGGGGCGGGAGAAGUCGACGGUAUUCCCGGGGUAGGGGUGAAAU
RNAcentral lists this ribosomal RNA (658 nucleotides) under uncultured archaeon. RNAcentral's name for it is "bacterial SSU rRNA". It matches the Rfam family "Archaeal small subunit ribosomal RNA", at positions 5 to 638 of the family's 1478-position model. The record is from RNAcentral.